GAGUAAAUACAGCUCUUUUAGAAUUCUUUUCUAACAGUUUUUCUGACUUUGAUCAGAAAAACCUA
Rattus norvegicus (Norway rat) is the source of this 65-nucleotide small nuclear RNA. Ensembl annotates it as U7 small nuclear RNA. The record is from Ensembl. NCBI's taxonomy places the organism in Eukaryota, Metazoa, Chordata, Mammalia, Rodentia, Muridae.